This 72-nucleotide transfer RNA is filed under the name Candidatus Parcubacteria bacterium. RNAcentral describes it as "tRNA-Gln". It matches the Rfam family "tRNA". From Rfam's summary of the family: Transfer RNA (tRNA) molecules are approximately 80 nucleotides in length. Lineage: Bacteria; Candidatus Parcubacteria. The record is from RNAcentral.
UGCGGGGUGGUGUAAUGGUAACACGCCAGGCUUUGGACCUGGAGAUUGGAGGUUCGAGCCCUCCCCCCGCAA